AUACUUACCUGGCAGGGGAGAUACCAUGAUCACGAAGGUGGUUUUCCCAGGGCGAGGCUUAUCCAUUGCACUCCGGAUGUGCUGACCCCUGCGAUUUCCCCAAAUGUGGGAAACUCAACUGCAUAAUUUGUGGUAGUGGGGGACUGUGUUCGCGCUUUCCCCUG
This 164-nucleotide small nuclear RNA is filed under the name Saimiri boliviensis boliviensis (Bolivian squirrel monkey). Its description in RNAcentral is "U1 spliceosomal RNA (ENSSBOG00000018940.1)". It matches the Rfam family "U1 spliceosomal RNA". Rfam says of the family: U1 is a small nuclear RNA (snRNA) component of the spliceosome (involved in pre-mRNA splicing). Its 5' end forms complementary base pairs with the 5' splice junction, thus defining the 5' donor site of an intron. There are significant differences in sequence and secondary structure between metazoan and yeast U1 snRNAs, the latter being much longer (568 nucleotides as compared to 164 nucleotides in human). The record is from Rfam by way of RNAcentral. Lineage: Eukaryota; Metazoa; Chordata; Mammalia; Primates; Cebidae.